Molecule: long non-coding RNA, 638 nt
Organism: Gasterosteus aculeatus aculeatus (three-spined stickleback)
Lineage: Eukaryota; Metazoa; Chordata; Actinopteri; Perciformes; Gasterosteidae
Source: Ensembl
CUGGACUAGAGAAAACUUUUUGGUGUCUUCCAGGUGAAGCUUUCGGUGAACAAAUGCUAAGAAGAGGAUGUGUGCUGGCAAGCUUCGAUCUGUUUGUUGGGUGUGUGCUCCAUACAAAUAUGAAUCUAAAUUGGGAUUUUCCAGGCUUCCUGCAUAUCCGUGAAGCAUAUACCCAUUUUUUUAUCCGUGGGUAGCUACAUGACAAGAGCAUCGCCUCACAAACCGGGUCCCGGGCGAAUCAGGGCUGCCACUGCGGAUUACCGAGCAAAUAUAAGUGGGAAAUGAGUGCAGAUCUGGGAGAUCUACGCCUCCACAUCCACGGUUUGACAUUUCCGUCCAAAGGCCACUCUUUCCUGCGCAUUGUUAGAUCAACGGAACCUCGCGCUGGGAACUCUUAUUGUAUUUUUUAUUUUUGUGUUCCGAGAUUCUGCAGUUAUCUGUUGAACAAUGUCAAAAACAAGGACACGGAGCCACGCGCCAGCGGAGCUGUUCGUGGUGCUGAAAUCAUCGCCAUGUGGCGCGCGUGGUGCCGCGCGCGUGCGCUGAGUGCGUUCAGUGCCAACGGUGUUGUGUUCGAUUGGGAAACUCAAGAGAUAAAAACAAAAAAAAAUAGAUAAAUCGAUAGAUGUCGAGGUUAU